This 128-nucleotide small RNA is filed under the name Algibacter luteus. Its description in RNAcentral is "Arenitalea lutea 6S-Flavo RNA". It matches the Rfam family "6S-Flavo RNA". The record is from Rfam by way of RNAcentral. Lineage: Bacteria; Pseudomonadati; Bacteroidota; Flavobacteriia; Flavobacteriales; Flavobacteriaceae.
ACUCAACGUUAAUUCUUUAAAAAGGGUGAGUUUAAGUUGUAAAAGCAUGCUGCAAAUAUUGAAUUUAUUUCAAUAACUAGCAGACCCUUGAUCAGCUUGUUAGCCCUAAACUUGUUUUUAAGGAGUUU